RNAcentral lists this RNase P RNA (243 nucleotides) under Caenorhabditis japonica. RNAcentral describes it as "sRNA CJA48552". It matches the Rfam family "Nuclear RNase P". Rfam says of the family: Ribonuclease P (RNase P) is a ubiquitous endoribonuclease, found in archaea, bacteria and eukarya as well as chloroplasts and mitochondria. Its best characterised activity is the generation of mature 5'-ends of tRNAs by cleaving the 5'-leader elements of precursor-tRNAs. The record is from Rfam by way of RNAcentral. Lineage: Eukaryota; Metazoa; Nematoda; Chromadorea; Rhabditida; Rhabditidae.
GUUGGCCGGAAGAAGGCGAUUGGGAGAAACACAAAGGCCCGAAAAUGGCCUACAAAACUCCCGGGAAGGUCUGAGAGCAAGCCCCCGUGAGAUCUAGGAGAUCUUCCCGUGUCCUAAUAGAGGGGAGGCUGUAGAAGAAGAGUUUCCCCCGCGUGGGUUUGGAAACGGCCUCGGCUAGCAAUUUUCAAGUCGCGCUAAGUGCGAUCGCCACACCAACACAAUUCAGACUAGUCUUCGGCCAAC